UACGGAGGGGCUAGCGUUGUUCGGAAUUACUGGGCGUAAAGCGCACGUAGGCGGCUUUUUAAGUCGGGGGUGAAAUCCUGGAGCUCAACUCCAGAACUGCCCUUCGAUACUGGAAAGCUCGAGUCCGGGAGAGGUGAGUGGAACUGCGAGUGUAGAGGUGAAAUUCGUAGAUAUUCGCAAGAACACCAGUGGCGAAGGCGGCUCACUGGCCCGGUACUGACGCUGAGGUGCGGAAAGCGUGGGGAGCAAAGCAGG
RNAcentral lists this ribosomal RNA (255 nucleotides) under uncultured bacterium. RNAcentral's name for it is "partial 16S ribosomal RNA". It matches the Rfam family "Bacterial small subunit ribosomal RNA", at positions 524 to 777 of the family's 1533-position model. The record is from RNAcentral.